Molecule: ribosomal RNA, 386 nt
Filed under: uncultured bacterium
Lineage: Bacteria
Description: bacterial SSU rRNA
Rfam family: Bacterial small subunit ribosomal RNA
Source: RNAcentral
GACGAACGCUGGCGGCGUGCUUAACACAUGCAAGUCGAGCGGUAAGGCCCUUUCGGGGGUACACGAGCGGCGAACGGGUGAGUAACACGUGGGUGACCUGCCCUUAGCUCUGGGAUAAGCCUGGGAAACUGGGUCUAAUACCGGAUAUGACUCCAUGACGCAUGUUGUGGGGUGGAAAGCCUUGUGCGGCUAGGGAUGGGCCCGCGGCCUAUCAGCUUGUUGGUGGGGUGAUGGCCACCAAGGCGACGACGGGUAGCCGGCCUGAGAGGGCGACCGGCCACACUGGGACUGAGACACGGCCCAGACUCCUACGGGAGGCAGCAGUGGGGAAUCUUGCGCAAUGGGCGAAAGCCUGACGCAGCGACGCCGCGUGGGGAGUGACGGCC